RNAcentral lists this ribosomal RNA (206 nucleotides) under uncultured bacterium. RNAcentral describes it as "partial 16S ribosomal RNA". It matches the Rfam family "Bacterial small subunit ribosomal RNA", at positions 568 to 774 of the family's 1533-position model. The record is from RNAcentral.
CACGUAGGCGGAUUGUUAAGUUAGGGUGAAAUCCCAGGGCUCAACCCUGGAACUGCCUCUAAUACUGGCAAUCUCGAGUCCGAGAGAGGUGAGUGGAAUUCCGAGUGUAGAGGUGAAAUUCGUAGAUAUUCGGAGGAACACCAGUGGCGAAGGCGGCUCACUGGCUCGGUACUGACGCUGAGGUGCGAAAGCGUGGGGAGCAAACA